GUCAAGUCAGCAUGGCCCUUACGCCUGGGGCUUCACACAUGCUACAAUGGCCGGUACAAAGGGCUCCGAUACCGCGAGGUGGAGGCAAUCCCAAAAAGCCGGUCUCAGUUCGGAUUGCAGGCUGCAACUCGCCUGCAUGAAGUUGGAAUCGCUAGUAACGGCCGGUCAGCUAAACGGCCGUGAAUACGUUCCCGGGCCUU
This 200-nucleotide ribosomal RNA is filed under the name uncultured organism. RNAcentral's name for it is "partial small subunit ribosomal RNA". It matches the Rfam family "Bacterial small subunit ribosomal RNA", at positions 1184 to 1382 of the family's 1533-position model. The record is from RNAcentral.